This 544-nucleotide ribosomal RNA is filed under the name uncultured bacterium. Its description in RNAcentral is "partial 16S ribosomal RNA". It matches the Rfam family "Bacterial small subunit ribosomal RNA", at positions 355 to 914 of the family's 1533-position model. The record is from RNAcentral.
UGGGGAAUAUUGCACAAUGGGCGGAAGCCUGAUGCAGCAACGCCGCGUGAGUGAUGAAGGCCUUCGGGUUGUAAAGCUCUGUCUUUUGGGACGAUAAUGACGGUACCAAAGGAGGAAGCCACGGCUAACUACGUGCCAGCAGCCGCGGUAAUACGUAGGUGGCAAGCGUUGUCCGGAUUUACUGGGCGUAAAGGAUGCGUAGGCGGAUUUUUAAGUGAGAUGUGAAAACCCUAAGCUUAACUUGGGGACUGCAUUUCAUACUGGAAAAUCUAGAGUGCGGGAGAGGAGAAUGGAAUUCCUAGUGUAGCGGUGAAAUGCGUAGAGAUUAGGAAGAACACCAGUGGCGAAGGCGAUUCUCUGGACCGUAACUGACGCUGAGGCAUGAAAGCGUGGGUAGCAAACAGGAUUAGAUACCCUGGUAGUCCACGCCGUAAACGAUGAGUACUAGGUGUAGGAGGUAUCGACCCCUUCUGUGCCGCAGUUAACACAAUAAGUACUCCGCCUGGGAAGUACGAUCGCAAGAUUAAAACUCAAAGGAAUUGAC